AGAGACAGCAGCAGCCGCGGUAAUACGUAGGUCCCGAGCGUUGUCCGGAUUUAUUGGGCGUAAAGCGAGCGCAGGCGGUUUGAUAAGUCUGAAGUUAAAGGCUGUGGCUCAACCAUAGUUCGCUUUGGAAACUGUCAAACUUGAGUGCAGAAGGGGAGAGUGGAAUUCCAUGUGUAGCGGUGAAAUGCGUAGAGAUGUGGAGGAACACCAGUGGCGAAGGCGACUCUCUGGUCUGUAACUGACGCUGAGGAGCGAAAGCGUGGGGAGCGAACAGGAUUAGAUACCCCUGUAGUCCCUGUCUCUUAUACA
This 309-nucleotide ribosomal RNA is filed under the name uncultured bacterium. RNAcentral describes it as "partial 16S ribosomal RNA". It matches the Rfam family "Bacterial small subunit ribosomal RNA", at positions 504 to 808 of the family's 1533-position model. The record is from RNAcentral.